UGGCUAAGAUGGUAAAGCGUCUGCCUACAAUGCGGGAGACCCAGGUUCGAUCCCUGG
Molecule: transfer RNA, 57 nt
Filed under: Ovis aries (sheep)
Lineage: Eukaryota; Metazoa; Chordata; Mammalia; Artiodactyla; Bovidae
Rfam family: tRNA
About the family: Transfer RNA (tRNA) molecules are approximately 80 nucleotides in length. Their secondary structure includes four short double-helical elements and three loops (D, anti-codon, and T loops).
Source: Rfam by way of RNAcentral